Molecule: non-coding RNA, 714 nt
Organism: Procambarus clarkii (red swamp crayfish)
Lineage: Eukaryota; Metazoa; Arthropoda; Malacostraca; Decapoda; Cambaridae
Source: RefSeq, a predicted model, not a curated record
AAAUUGUGUGCUAAUGAUAAACAAGAAAUUACGCAUAUGGCAGCCCCUUUUGUUAAGAAAUUUGACAAAUUGGCUCCCUGGUUGUUCUGUGACAUUUCUGCUCAAGCCGUACACCAGAGAGCUGCUGGUCCUCGCUGGGUCCCAGUGGCCACCAGCCUAGCAUACUGGCAUGGUCGGUGUCUCUGCUGCAUCACUGAGGGAACACCUUGAACAACAACUGUGGCAUUUUGUACCGAUGAGGACCAGUCUUUCGUCGCCUGCUACCUAUAAACUAUUGAGAAAAUACAUCAGGACACGAGCCAGCUGUGCCCAAAGUGGGGGACACUGCUAGAACAACGGAAUGACACACUGUAUAACAUCUUAAAACUAGUGGAGCUGUCAAAGGAUGCCCACUGUUGAGGUUCAACCUGAAUAUUCAACAUGCCCAAGAGAUCAUUCAGGAUUCCAAUAAGAAGGCAGAAAAACAUGUGAGGGAUGUCAAUGCAGAUGGAUUUCCAGAUGAAUGUAGUGAGGGACAGACAAUGCGAAGGAACGAUGGAAUAGCUAAACUCCCUAUUAUGAAAAUCGGUACAUUGUACAAGGUUGUCCAGCAUCCUUGUACCAGUCGAUAUCAUCGUGGCCUCGCCUCCAGCCACACGGGAACUUCAGGAUAAGUUUACAGAUGUGACAGUCCUCGGCCUCGUAACCUUGGGGCAAAUCAGGACUGCCCAGCCU